GACGAACGCUGGCGGCGUGCUUAACACAUGCAAGUCGAACGGGAUUUAGUAAACAGAAACCUCGGUGGAAGAUUACUAAUGAGAGUGGCGAACGGGUGAGUAACGCGUGAGCAACCUGCCUAUGACAGUGGGAUAGCCUCGGGAAACCGGGAUUAAUACCGCAUAAAAUCGUAGAAACACAUGUUUUAACGGUCAAAGAUUUAUCGGUCAUAGAUGGGCUCGCGUCUGAUUAGCUAGUUGGUGAGAUAACAGCCCACCAAGGCGACGAUCAGUAGCCGGUCUGAGAGGAUGAACGGCCACAUUGGAACUGAGACACGGUCCAAACUCCUACGGGAAGCAGCAGUGGGGAAUAUUGCACAAUGGGGGAAACCCUGAUGCAGCGACGCCGCGUGAACGAAGAAGGUAUUCGUAUCGUAAAGUUCUGUCCUAUGGGAAGAUAAUGACAGUACCAGAGAAGAAAGCUCCGGCUAAAUACGUG
Molecule: ribosomal RNA, 478 nt
Filed under: uncultured bacterium
Lineage: Bacteria
Description: partial 16S ribosomal RNA
Rfam family: Bacterial small subunit ribosomal RNA
Source: RNAcentral